GACGAACGCUGGCGGCGUGCUUAACACAUGCAAGUCGAGCGGUAAGGCCCUUUCGGGGGUACACGAGCGGCGAACGGGUGAGUAACACGUGGGUGACCUGCCCUCAGCUCUGGGAUAAGCCUGGGAAACCGGGUCUAAUACCGGAUAUGACUCCAUGACGCAUGUUGUGGGGUGGAAAGCCUUGUGCGGCUGAGGAUGGGCCCGCGGCCUAUCAGCUUGUUGGUGGGGGAUGGCCUACCAAGGCGACGACGGGUAGCCGGCCUGAGAGGGCGACCGGCCACACUGGGACUGAGACACGGCCCAGACUCCUACGGGAGGCAGCAGUGGGGAAUCUUGCGCAAUGGGCGAAAGCCUGACGCAGCGACGCCGCGUGAGGGAUGACGGCCUGGUGUAAC
Molecule: ribosomal RNA, 395 nt
Filed under: uncultured bacterium
Lineage: Bacteria
Description: bacterial SSU rRNA
Rfam family: Bacterial small subunit ribosomal RNA
Source: RNAcentral